Molecule: ribosomal RNA, 465 nt
Filed under: uncultured bacterium
Lineage: Bacteria
Description: partial 16S ribosomal RNA
Rfam family: Bacterial small subunit ribosomal RNA
Source: RNAcentral
GACGAACGCUGGCGGCGUGCUUAACACAUGCAAGUCGAACGGAAGGGCCCUGCUUUCAGGGUACUCGAGUUGCGAACGGGUGAGUAACACGUGGGUGAUCUGCCCUGCACUUCGGGAUAAGCCUGGUAAACUGGGUCUAAUACCGGAUAUGACCUUCCUAGUAGUGUGGGGGGUGGAAAGAUUUAUCGGUGUGGGAUGAGCCGGCGGCCUAUCAGCUUGUUGGUGGGGUAAUGGCCUACCAAGGGGUCGACGGGUAGCCGGCCUGAGAGGGUGGACGGCCACAUUGGGACUGCGAUACGGCCCAGACUCCUACGGGCGGCAGCAGUGGGGAAUAUUGCACAAUGGGCGGAAGCCUUAUGCAGAGACGCCGGGUGGGGGAUGACGGCCUUCGGGUUGUAAACCUCUUUCGACAGGGACGAAGCUUCGGUGACGGUACCUGUAUAAGAAGCACCGGCUAACUACGUG